This 974-nucleotide long non-coding RNA is filed under the name Vigna radiata. RNAcentral's name for it is "long non-coding RNA (VRAD_LNC007623)". Lineage: Eukaryota; Viridiplantae; Streptophyta; Magnoliopsida; Fabales; Fabaceae. The record is from RNAcentral.
UUAUUUAGUGUUUUGAAAAAGUAGAUACUGUGCAAGUGGAAGGAAGUAGUGAGAAUAAGAUAUAGAAGGAAGAUCUGGUGGGACAAAGAAGCACACAUGCUUCAAAGUCUCAGACUCCAGAUCCACAUGCUCCUUUUUCUUUUUCCUAUUUCGCUAUUUUUUCUUCAAAACACAACAACGACACAUUAUAUUAAUAUUAUCAUCUUCGGAAAAUGCUCUCUUCUGUUCGUGAUUCCUGACUUGGUGUGUGCGUGUCCCAGAGAUCACUACCCUCAAACAUCGCACGUGCAUUCUACGAUCCGAAUAUAAAAAGGUAUAUUCUUUCAAAACCUGGAAAAAUUAAAAAAUUAAAAAAAAAAAAUCUCGUCUUUUGUAUCGAUGUUCGUAAACAAUUUUUUUAAUGUUUAAAUAAAAACAUUAUUAUGCACUGAAUAAAACCAAAUUGACUAUCCCUUCUUAAUUUCGCGCUUAGAAUCGCGAACCGUUGAUUGUCAAAACAUAAUCUCCAUUGUGCAGAUCAAACGGUGCAAAACUUUCCUCUUGCAAUGCGGGCACCCAGUGUGAGUGAUAGAUAGUUAGCAAACCAGAAUCGGCUUUCGCCGGUUUUGGCCAAAAGGGUGGGCGGUGGAUGCGAUGAGUGCGGGUGGGACCGUGUUACAGUACAGAUCCCAUCCAACGGUCUGAGUCCAACGUCAUGGGAUUACGUGUGAAGAUCCAACGGCUGGGAGAUGUACAAGAUAAGGGAAUAGAUUCCUCUUAACUUUUUUGUUUUUAUGGUUAUUGUUUUAUGGAUGAUCUACAAGAUUGCAUAAACCCAACGAUAAAGUGCUCUCCAAAAAUUUUAGCAAAUUAAUCUAUUACUUUUACCAAACAUAUCAUAUUCCAGAAAUUCAUUAUGUUCGUUAAGUUUAAUCGUAUUUAGUUAGAUUAAAACAUAUGGACAUUUUACGUAUGAAUAUAUUUAUUUGUUCACG